Molecule: transfer RNA, 71 nt
Filed under: Rosellinia necatrix
Lineage: Eukaryota; Fungi; Ascomycota; Sordariomycetes; Xylariales; Xylariaceae
Description: tRNA-Glu
Rfam family: tRNA
About the family: Transfer RNA (tRNA) molecules are approximately 80 nucleotides in length. Their secondary structure includes four short double-helical elements and three loops (D, anti-codon, and T loops).
Source: RNAcentral
CCCAAUGUGGUGUACUGGUUGCGCACCCAGCUCUCAGCUGGGAAGACCGGGUUCGAUCCCCGGCAUUGGGA